GGGAGGUGGCGCGCAGGGUGGCACCUAAAAAACAACGCUCCUGCAGUGUCCCUAUAACGGCUCAACGAGGAGAAACAACUUGCCCAAGAUCUCCAAGGCAGGGUUUGGAGCCAGGUCUGGAGCCUGUAUUCUGAAGGAGCAGAAGCCCAGGGUGAGACCAGCCCAUUAAACCUACUUGGCCCAUAGAAGGAGAAGAAGGAAGGGGGCUGGGCAGAAGAAGAGGCAGGAGGGCAGCCGUCGGUGACGGUGCAAGGACAUCACUGGAGGCUGUUAAAAUGAGUCUGUGUGCUUGGGUCAGGCAAGGACGCAGCCAGCAUCAGCUGCUGCUGCUCUUAGCUUCCCUGCCCGUGUCCCUCGGCUGGCCCUGCUCCUCCCUCCAAAAAACAAGCAAGAAUUCUAACAGGGUGAAACCAGGACAGUGGCUGGCUCACACAUCCAGGGGAAAAUGAUCCGAAAGCACCGCAUUCCAUGGGACAGACAGGCCAGGAAAACCAGGAUGCUCAGAGAAACCAGACCUGACAGCAGACGGCAAAUAAUAUCCCAUCCGGAAGUAUGACAGGACAAAAGGAGAAGCUUCACACAUCAGCCCAUCUUGCCCUGGGCUAGUCCGUGCCCAGGCACUCGGGGACGUGGACCACGGAGAGCAACACAAACUAUCAUGUGCCAGGAGGCCUGGGAGCCAAGGCCAGAGGGUGGGGAGGAGCUGCAGGCUUCUCAAAAGACCCAGGGGCCAACU
Long non-coding RNA from Piliocolobus tephrosceles (Ugandan red Colobus), 736 nucleotides. RefSeq lists it as uncharacterized. NCBI's taxonomy places the organism in Eukaryota, Metazoa, Chordata, Mammalia, Primates, Cercopithecidae. The record is from RefSeq and is a predicted model, not a curated record. The transcript has 3 exons.